RNAcentral lists this ribosomal RNA (413 nucleotides) under Aeolidia papillosa. RNAcentral describes it as "partial large subunit ribosomal RNA". It matches the Rfam family "Eukaryotic large subunit ribosomal RNA", at positions 1 to 411 of the family's 3401-position model. The record is from RNAcentral. Lineage: Eukaryota; Metazoa; Mollusca; Gastropoda; Nudibranchia; Aeolidiidae.
UAAAACGACGGCCAGUACCCGCUGAAUUUAAGCAUUUCAGUAAGCGGAGGAAAAGAAACCAACGGGGACUCCCCCAGUAACGGCGAGUGAAGCGGGAUAAGCCCAGCGCUGAAACCCCCUGGGCCCAUGUCCGCGGGGAGCUGUAGCGUUCGGGUCGGUGUCGAGCGGGAACGGGGGCGUCGCGCGAGUCUUCUCGAGCGUGGCUUGCCCAGAGCGGGUGCCAGGCCCUUGCCGGCGAUGCUCCCUCCCGCCGACCUAGACUCUGGAGUCGGGUUGCUUGGCAGUGCAGCCCAAAGAGGGUGGUAAACUCCACCUAAGGCUAAGUACCUGCGCGAGUCCGAUAGCGAACAAGUACUGUGAGGGAAAGUUGAAAAGAACUUUGAAGAGAGAGUUCAGUCAUAGCUGUUUCCUGA